This 107-nucleotide small nuclear RNA is filed under the name Propithecus coquereli (Coquerel's sifaka). The record is from RNAcentral. Lineage: Eukaryota; Metazoa; Chordata; Mammalia; Primates; Indriidae.
GUGCUUGCUUCAGCAGCAUAUAUACUAAAAUUGGAAUGAUACACAGAAAAUUAUCAUGACCCUUGUGCAAAGAUGACAUGGAAAUUUGUGAAACAUUCCAUAUUUUA